GUGUUGACUUCAGCAGCACAUUUCCUAAAAUUGGAAUGAUACAGAGAAGAUUAGCAUGGCCCCACACAAGGAUGACAUGCAAAUUCGUGAAAGAUUUCAUAUUUUU
Molecule: small nuclear RNA, 106 nt
Organism: Vulpes vulpes (red fox)
Lineage: Eukaryota; Metazoa; Chordata; Mammalia; Carnivora; Canidae
Source: Ensembl